GUCGUCGUGGCCAAGCUGGUUAAGGCACUUCGCUGAUAACGAAGAGAUGCGCUGGUUCGAGCCCAGCCGACGACAC
Molecule: transfer RNA, 76 nt
Filed under: Phytohabitans rumicis
Lineage: Bacteria; Bacillati; Actinomycetota; Actinomycetes; Micromonosporales; Micromonosporaceae
Description: tRNA-Ile
Rfam family: tRNA
About the family: Transfer RNA (tRNA) molecules are approximately 80 nucleotides in length. Their secondary structure includes four short double-helical elements and three loops (D, anti-codon, and T loops).
Source: RNAcentral